AAGUGUAUAGCUCAGUGGGAGAGUGCGUGCUUAGCACACAUGAGGUCCUGGGUUCAAUCCCCAGUACUUCUA
This 72-nucleotide transfer RNA is filed under the name Camelus bactrianus (Bactrian camel). It matches the Rfam family "tRNA". From Rfam's summary of the family: Transfer RNA (tRNA) molecules are approximately 80 nucleotides in length. Lineage: Eukaryota; Metazoa; Chordata; Mammalia; Artiodactyla; Camelidae. The record is from Rfam by way of RNAcentral. RNAcentral also lists the same sequence under 3 other names.